RNAcentral lists this ribosomal RNA (253 nucleotides) under uncultured bacterium. RNAcentral describes it as "partial 16S ribosomal RNA". It matches the Rfam family "Bacterial small subunit ribosomal RNA", at positions 524 to 776 of the family's 1533-position model. The record is from RNAcentral.
UACGUAGGGUGCAAGCGUUGUCCGGAAUUAUUGGGCGUAAAGAGCUCGUAGGCGGUCAGUCGCGUCUGCUGUGAAAACCCGGGGCUUAACUCCGGGCCUGCAGUGGGUACGGGCUGACUAGAGUGCGGUAGGGGAGACUGGAAUUCCUGGUGUAGCGGUGAAAUGCGCAGAUAUCAGGAGGAACACCAGUGGCGAAGGCAGCUCGCUGGGACGGUACUGACGCUGAGGCGCGAAAGCGUGGGGAGCAAACAGG